RNAcentral lists this non-coding RNA (25 nucleotides) under Rattus norvegicus (Norway rat). Lineage: Eukaryota; Metazoa; Chordata; Mammalia; Rodentia; Muridae. The record is from RNAcentral.
CUAUUUUGAGGUGUUUGCACGAGUC